GCGUUAAGUUGCAGGGUAUAGACCCGAAACCCGGUGAUCUAGCCAUGGGCAGGUUGAAGGUUGGGUAACACUAACUGGAGGACCGAACCGACUAAUGUUGAAAAAUUAGCGGAUGACCUGUGGCUGGGGGUGAAAGGCCAAUCAAACCGGGAGAUAGCUGGUUCUCCCCGAAAGCUAUUUAGGUAGCGCCUCGUGAAUUCAUCUCCGGGGGUAGAGCACUGUUUCGGCUAGGGGGCCAUCCCGGCUUACCAACCCGAUGCAAACUGCGAAUACCGGAGAAUGUUAUCACGGGAGACACACGGCGGGUGCUAACGUCCGUCGUGAAGAGGGAAACAACCCAGACCGCCAGCUAAGGUCCCAAAGUCAUGGUUAAGUGGGAAACGAUGUGGGAAGGCCCAGACAGCCAGGAUGUUGGCUUAGAAGCAGCCAUCAUUUAAAGAAAGCGUAAUAGCUCACUGGUCGAGUCGGCCUGCGCGGAAGAUGUAACGGGGCUAAACCAUGCACCGAAGCUGCGGCAGCGACACUGUGUGUUGUUGGGUAGGGGAGCGUUCUGUAAGCCUG
This 561-nucleotide ribosomal RNA is filed under the name Salmonella enterica subsp. enterica serovar Enteritidis. RNAcentral describes it as "bacterial LSU rRNA". It matches the Rfam family "Bacterial large subunit ribosomal RNA", at positions 692 to 1251 of the family's 2925-position model. Lineage: Bacteria; Pseudomonadati; Pseudomonadota; Gammaproteobacteria; Enterobacterales; Enterobacteriaceae. The record is from RNAcentral.